GACGAACGCUGGCGGCGCGCCUAACACAUGCAAGUCGAACGAGAGAUGAGGAGCUUGCUCUUCAAAUCGAGUGGCGAACGGGUGAGUAACGCGUGAGGAACCUGCCUCAAAGAGGGGGACAACAGUUGGAAACGGCUGCUAAUACCGCAUAAGCCCAUGGCUCGGCAUCGAGCAGAGGGAAAAGGAGCAAUCCGCUUUGAGAUGGCCUCGCGUCCGAUUAGCUAGUUGGUGAGGUAACGGCCCACCAAGGCGACGAUCGGUAGCCGGACUGAGAGGUUGAACGGCCACAUUGGGACUGAGACACGGCCCAGACUCCUACGGGAGGCAGCAGUGGGGAAUAUUGCACAAUGGGGGAAACCCUGAUGCAGCGACGCCGCGUGGAGGAAGAAGGUCUUCGGAUUGUAAACUCCUGUUGUUGAGGAAGAUAAUGACGGUACUCAACAAGGAAGUGA
RNAcentral lists this ribosomal RNA (452 nucleotides) under uncultured bacterium. RNAcentral describes it as "bacterial SSU rRNA". It matches the Rfam family "Bacterial small subunit ribosomal RNA", at positions 28 to 493 of the family's 1533-position model. The record is from RNAcentral.